ACUGAACGCUGGCGGCAUGCUUUACACAUGCAUGUCGAACGGUAACAGGGUGCUUGCACCGCUGACGAGUGGCGAACGGGUGAGUAAUGCGUCGGAACGUGCCGAGUAGUGGGGGAUAACGCAGCGAAAGUUGUGCUAAUACCGCAUACGUACUGAGGUAGAAAGUGGGGGACCUUCGGGCCUCACGCUAUUCGAGCGGCCGACGUCUGAUUAGCUAGUAGGUGAGGUAAAGGCUCACCUAGGCGACGAUCAGUAGCGGGUCUGAGAGGAUGAUCCGCCACACUGGGACUGAGACACGGCCCAGACUCCUACGGGAGGCAGCAGUGGGGAAUUUUGGACAAUGGGCGAAAGCCUGAUCCAGCCAUGCCGCGUGUCUGAAGAAGGCCUUCGGGUUGUAAAGGACUUUUGUCGGGGAGGAAAUCCCCAGCGUUAAUACCGCUGGGGGAUGACAGUACCUGAAGAAUAAGCACCGGCUAACUACGUGCCAGCCGCCGCGGUAA
Molecule: ribosomal RNA, 500 nt
Filed under: uncultured bacterium
Lineage: Bacteria
Description: partial 16S ribosomal RNA
Rfam family: Bacterial small subunit ribosomal RNA
Source: RNAcentral